This is a transfer RNA of Aspergillus ustus, 83 nucleotides long. It matches the Rfam family "tRNA". Rfam says of the family: Transfer RNA (tRNA) molecules are approximately 80 nucleotides in length. The record is from Rfam. Lineage: Eukaryota; Fungi; Ascomycota; Eurotiomycetes; Eurotiales; Aspergillaceae.
UCCGAUGUGGUGUAAUGGUUAACAUCGCUGUCUCUCACUGCUGAGUUACACAGCAGCUCGGGGUUCGAUUCCCCGCAUCGGAA